CAACCCUGAUCCAGCCAUGCCGCGUGAGUGAAGAAGGCCUUCGGGUUGUAAAGCUCUUUCGGCCGGGAAGAAAUCGUGCAGGCUAAUACCCUGUAUGGAUGACGGUACCGGAAUAAGAAGCACCGGCUAACUACGUGCCAGCAGCCGCGGUAAUACGAAGGGGGCUAGCGUUGUUCGGAAUUACUGGGCGUAAAGCGCACGUAGGCGGAUCGAUCAGUUAGGGGUGAAAUCCCAGGGCUCAACCCUGGAACUGCCUCUAAUACUGUCGAUCUCGAGUUCGAGAGAGGUGAGUGGAAUUCCGAGUGUAGAGGUGAAAUUCGUAGAUAUUCGGAGGAACACCAGUGGCGAAGGCGGCUCACUGGCUCGAUACUGACGCUGAGGUGCGAAAGCGUGGGGAGCAAACA
Molecule: ribosomal RNA, 404 nt
Filed under: uncultured Aquamicrobium sp.
Lineage: Bacteria; Pseudomonadati; Pseudomonadota; Alphaproteobacteria; Hyphomicrobiales; Phyllobacteriaceae
Description: bacterial SSU rRNA
Rfam family: Bacterial small subunit ribosomal RNA
Source: RNAcentral